UACGGGAGGCAGCAGUGGGGAAUAUUGGACAAUGGGGGGAACCCUGAUCCAGCAAUGCCGCGUUGGUGUGAAGAAGGCCUGAGGGUUGUAAAGCACUUUCAGUGGGGAGGAGGAUGCUUAGGUUAAGAGCUAGAGUAUUGGACGUUACCCACAGAAGAAGCACCGGCUAACUCCGUGCCAGCAGCCGCGGUAAUACGGAGGGUGCGAGCGUUAAUCGGAAUUACUGGGCGUAAAGGGUGCGUAGGUGGUUGAUUAAGUUAUCUGUGAAAUCCCCGGGCUCAACCUGGGCAGGUCAGAUAAUACUGAUUGACUCGAGUAUAGGAGAGGGUAGUGGAAUUUCCGGUGUAGCGGUGAAAUGCGUAGAGAUCGGAAGGAACACCAGUGGCGAAGGCGGCUACCUGGCCUAAUACUGACACUGAGGCACGAAAGCGUGGGGAGCAAACAGGAUUAGAUACCCUGGUAGUCCACGCUGUAAACGAUGUCAACUAGGCUGUUGGUUAUAUGAAUAUAAUUAGUGGCGCAGCAAACGCGAUAAGUUGACCGCCUGGGGAGUACGGUCGCAAGAUUAAAACUC
Molecule: ribosomal RNA, 574 nt
Filed under: uncultured Gammaproteobacteria bacterium
Lineage: Bacteria; Pseudomonadati; Pseudomonadota; Gammaproteobacteria
Description: bacterial SSU rRNA
Rfam family: Bacterial small subunit ribosomal RNA
Source: RNAcentral